UCAAAUCUUCUUAGCUCAGCUUCAGGUCUUCCACCCUACGGUCCUGAAAAUUUAAGCCCACUAUGGGGUGUGAUAUAAAUCUCAGCAAGUUCACGCUCUAAACCCUGAUUAGGAGGGUAAUACGCCUAGAAGCGUCCUAAUCACACAACCACACAAUUAGAGCAGAGAACUUACCUCAUCUCAGUUUCUUUUUAUAUGUCAGCACAGUUCAUAUCACAACCAUAUGCAUAUAGCAAUUUCACACAUCAAUUGGAACGUCUAAAUCAGUCACUGUUCACAUGAGCAAGAGUUACCGACACACGUCAGUCCAUCAAUUCAAUCAUAGGAGUUCUGAUUAUAUGGCCAAAUCGUUAUGGCACAUCUCAUUCCAUGCCACACAAUUUUAUUUCAUGAUCCGACGUAUCAAUUUCACUCAAUAUGCGUUCCAAUUAAUUACUACUACCCACACAGGUAGUUUUACCUGACACACACCGGUUCUCUAUCCACCGACACACAUUGGGGAUAGGUGAUGUUCACCAACACCCAUCGGGAGUGGGUUCUCUUAUCCUUUAAUGUCUACCAACACACACCGAGGACGGGUUCUCUUAACCUUUAACGUCCACCGACACACACCGGGAACGGUUCUCUUAACCUUUAACGUCCACCGACACACACCGAGGACAGUUCUCUUAACUUUUAACGUUCAUUGACACACACACCAGGGACGGUUAUCUUAAUCAGCACACGAUCAUUCAAUUUUGACCACGGACACCAUGCAUUGUAUUUAAAUACUUCAAUUAAAAUGGUGAAUCUGGCCUAUUUUCUAAGUAUUAAAAGUACACGGUAAAAUACUCGUUUGUGGGUACACGGUCAACUCAAUCCAGAAUAAGUGAUAUCCUCCAAUUUGAAAUCCUACUAUUUUAUAUAGUGCGUAAAACUAUUUUCAGUGUUAAAAUCCGAUAUCCGGAAUUUUCUAAAUAAAUAUCAAAAUUCACAAUUUUUGGAAUUAAAUACUCAAAAUUCCAAUCAGCACUUAAUUUGCACAAAUUAGCACCAGUUGCAGAAACUAACCAUAUCAUUGUAAUCAACAUGAAAUUCCGGUCACUAGCUAUCCCGGUCUAAGGAAAAAUUUAAUAAUUAAAUAAUUUCUAAAAUUAAUUAAAUAAUUCAAUUUAAAUGCUAAAAAUACCAACAUAGGCCGAAAUUGCUAAAUUAAAUACCGAAACGGGCCCGGAAAAUUCCUGAACCAAUCUAGAUAAAUAAUACGAUUUAUCUAGGCCAUAGUUAAUCUAAUCUAACCACCUAACAUGCAUAAUUAACUAAUUAAAUUGCUAAUCUAAUCUAACUAACUACCUAAUCCCUAAUUAAUGUAACUAAAUACCCCUUAAACAUCAUUAACCUACUAAGAAGAGUUUAGUGCAUAAACUCACCGGUUUGUUGCGGAAACCGGUUCACCGCGAUGACGGCGUGACGGCGGCUGAAACUUGGGUUUGCGGCGGCGUCUACACACUUGAACCGGGCCUAAAAUUGGCCCAACAAAUCUCAGCCCAAUCUGAGAUUUGUUAUUGAGUUGGGCUGGGCUUGCUUUGCGGGCUUGGGCUGCUGAUUUGGACUGAAGACACAAGCUUCAAGUGGGUUGGAUUGCGACUGAAAUCCACUUGGGCUGCUGGCAUGAGCGGGCUGGAAAUUUCGUGGGUCUCUGCUGGGGUUUUGGGCUGAAGCUUGGGCCGAACUGCUGCUGUGAAGAUGGGCCGAAGAAAACGCGCGUGCUUCAAAUGACGUGGCUUCGAUGGGUCGUGAGCUGAGAAGUCCGAAGCAGCGAAGGAAGAGCUACUUCGGUUGGGGGACGUGCGGGCGCUGGCAGCUUGAAGUGAAGGCUCGGUGGAUGGAGAUGGCACACGGCAGCAAGCUGGGAGAUUCGGUGGUCUUCAGCUGGGAAGUUUUGACCGAACAAAACGCCACGUGAAGCUGGACUUCGGUGGAGAGCUUCGGGCUUCGCUGGCAGCUUGAGAUCGGUGGUGCUUCGGUGGAGUCUUCGAGUGGCUGAAGUCCACGGGUGUUAAUGCGCUGAGGAAAUCGAGCAGAUAGACCUCGGUGGACGCUGGAUACGUGGAGAUUUGUGGUCAACGUUGGGGAGAGCUUCACCGAUUGUUGACUCAAUUGGGAACAGAACUUGGUAGAGGAUGAGUGGCUUCGGUUCGGUGGGAAGCUACUCGGUCUUCGUUGAAGAUGGUUGACCGAACAAACAAGAGACAAGGUGAUGGGGCGGCAGAGAGAGAGAGGCUUCGGGUAAAGAGCAAAUGGCAGAAUGAAAUUGCAAGGGGAAAUGAAAUAGAAGAAGAGCAGAGAGGGAUGGUCGAUGGAGGGAAUGCACGAAGGAGGAGAGAGAGGAUGGAUGAGGAAGAGAGAUGAAGCAAAAG
RNAcentral lists this long non-coding RNA (2399 nucleotides) under Eucalyptus grandis. RNAcentral's name for it is "long non-coding RNA (EGRA_LNC001610)". Lineage: Eukaryota; Viridiplantae; Streptophyta; Magnoliopsida; Myrtales; Myrtaceae. The record is from RNAcentral.